This 252-nucleotide ribosomal RNA is filed under the name uncultured bacterium. RNAcentral describes it as "partial 16S ribosomal RNA". It matches the Rfam family "Bacterial small subunit ribosomal RNA", at positions 524 to 776 of the family's 1533-position model. The record is from RNAcentral.
UACGGAGGAUCCAAGCGUUAUCCGGAUUUAUUGGGUUUAAAGGGUGCGCAGGCGGCACGGCAAGCCGGCGGUCAAAUCGCGGGGCUCAACCCCGCCCAGCCGUCGGAACUGCCGGGCUAGAGUGGGCGAGAAGUGCGCGGAAUGCGUGGUGUAGUGGUGAAAUGCAUAGAUAUCACGCAGAACUCCGAUUGCGAAGGCAGCGCACCGGCGCCCUACUGACGCUCAGGCACGAAAGCGUGGGUAUCGAACAGG